AUUUUGCCUUUCUACUUUUAUCAGUCAUGGAGAAGUCAUUGUUCAUGUGGGUAUAGUUCUGUGAAAAAAGUAUUAUGCUUUUACAAAUUGAUAUUGAUGGCUAGCCUAUAUUUUACAAUGACAUUUUUAGGUAAGGAGAAAGCGCCAUUUAAAUAAUGGUGAAAUUUAUGAAUUUACAGAUAGAAAAUAAAAAGACACACAUUAAAAUAGUAGUGUCUGAGCAAAUCCAGUCACCAUCUUUGAGAUACGUAAAAAACCAAUAAUAGGAAUGUGCUAUAUAAAAAGUGAAGGCAGUAGACAGAAAUUCUCAACAGCUUGUGCAAACAAAUUGGUUACUUACAUUAAAAACAGAUUUUUAAUUAUCCUUUAUGUAGUACUAAAGUAGAUUUUUGUAACUGGCUUUUGAAGCAUUGUGAAUAUAAGCAUCAUUUCUAAAGACCUGAAAAUAUUUAAAUAUAUUUUAUUGUAAAAUUACUAAUACCAAACUUAAAACUGUGAGACUAUAAAAGUUCUUAAUAUCAUAGAAUGAUUUACUUUUUAAACCAGUGAACUAGGAAAUGAUGGUCAGCUUCCACUAAGGUAGCUAUCUGUCGUAGCAAGUGAGCAUAGAUGACAUACGUAGAUGUGUUAUUAAACUGAGGAUUCUGAAAAAGAUAUUAAAGAUAAUUGUGUUAAAAUUCUGUUAACACGUAAAAGGAAAGACACUAAGCUUAAUAAGUACGUGGUAAAUUCAGGAAACAAAAUUUGAGAUUAUAAAAUAACAAUAACCUAUUUGUUAUUUAAUUAACAGAGACUUUCAUUUACACUGCGGCUAUACAGUGAAAAGAGCAUGGGCUUUGGAGUUAAGACAGAUCUGGGUCUGAGGGCUAAUUCUACCACUUACUAGCUAUAUGCCCUUAGGCAUGUUCCUUACACUUUGAUUCUCAAUGUCCUUAUCUGUAAAAUGGGAAUGAUAUUCUCUAUCUUAAGGGUUGUUUUGAGUAUCGAAAAAGAAAAUGUAUAUAAAGCACCUUCAUAAAAAGUGCCUUCAUAAAUGGUACCAAUCACUAUCAUCCAAUUAAAAGCAAAAAACCUGGGUGUUCCUUGAUUAAAAGCUAGAAAAACGAAGUAAAAGCUGGUUGUGAAACUUUUGCCAUUGUAAAAUGAGUUAGCCUCAUAUAUCACAAAGAACAAGGGGAGAAACACAUACAGCUUCUGACAACUUUUAAAUGAUAAAGGGACGCUGAAGGAAUACUUGUAAACUAAGAAAAGCCUUUAGUUAAUGUUUCCAAAAUAUAAAAUUCUAGCACAAUGUACAUUUCAGCACAUCAUGGAAAAAAUAAAUAUUAUUGAAAAAAACCUCCUGAAAUUGUGAAAAAUAAGAGAGCACCAUGUGUUUUUCAAAACUGACUUAUUGACAGAACAACUCAAAAUCUGGGACUGACCUCAGCUGAUAACUUCAUCUGGUAAUGGCUCUUGAGAAGAACAAAAUAUGAGCAGAGCUUAUGGCUGACCAAUAUACUCACCUAAAAUCUGAGCUUCGUGUCAUCUUUCUAGCUUUUACUAUCUCUACAUAUGUUUAUUCUUGAGUUUUGGCUCUUUCUCCUCUUACUUCUCUAUUUUCCCUCCUUACAUUUCUCUUCUUAACUACCUCUUGGUCAUUUUCCCCCCUUUUCCACUUUUUCCUCUUUCCUCACUUUCUCUAUCCCUACCCUGUAUAUGUUCUUUCAUUAGACAUAUUGAUAUUAUAAUAUCAUAAUAUUGUACUAAACACUAUACUUAUUUAAUAUAGUUUUCCUUACUUUUAAAUGAGAUAAUAU
RNAcentral lists this long non-coding RNA (1799 nucleotides) under Homo sapiens (human). RNAcentral describes it as "non-protein coding lnc-PPP1R3C-4:1". The record is from RNAcentral. Lineage: Eukaryota; Metazoa; Chordata; Mammalia; Primates; Hominidae.